This 68-nucleotide transfer RNA is filed under the name Lissoclinum patella. RNAcentral describes it as "tRNA-Lys". Lineage: Eukaryota; Metazoa; Chordata; Ascidiacea; Aplousobranchia; Didemnidae. The record is from RNAcentral.
UUUUAAGGAAACUUUUUAAUGAAGUAUUUCAUUUUUAAUGAAAAAAAGGAUAACUCCCCUCUUGGUGU